CACCGACGGGAAGCCGGCGAUGUACGGCUGGUCCUGCGUGCCGGCGCGGGUGUCGAUGCCGACGCCCUGGAAGUUCAGGCUGCCGUCGGCGU
RNAcentral lists this transfer RNA (92 nucleotides) under Stenotrophomonas maltophilia. Its description in RNAcentral is "tRNA-Ala". Lineage: Bacteria; Pseudomonadati; Pseudomonadota; Gammaproteobacteria; Lysobacterales; Lysobacteraceae. The record is from RNAcentral.